Molecule: regulatory RNA element, 124 nt
Organism: Desulfosporosinus sp. I2
Lineage: Bacteria; Bacillati; Bacillota; Clostridia; Eubacteriales; Desulfitobacteriaceae
Rfam family: pan motif
Source: Rfam
CAGACGAUAUCGAUAAGAGUUGUACUGUCAGGGGUAAGGAUUAGAAAACUCAUAGAAUCAAGCUUAAAGUUUGAAAAGAAAAUAGCUUUUUAACCGCUUGGAUCAAUUUGACCGAGACGGAGGG